This 252-nucleotide ribosomal RNA is filed under the name uncultured bacterium. Its description in RNAcentral is "partial 16S ribosomal RNA". It matches the Rfam family "Bacterial small subunit ribosomal RNA", at positions 524 to 776 of the family's 1533-position model. The record is from RNAcentral.
UACGUAGGGUGCGAGCGUUGUCCGGAAUUACUGGGCGUAAAGAGCUCGUAGGUGGUUUGUCGCGUUGUUCGUGAAAACUCACAGCUCAACUGUGGGCGUGCGGGCGAUACGGGCAGACUAGAGUACUGCAGGGGAGACUGGAAUUCCUGGUGUAGCGGUGGAAUGCGCAGAUAUCAGGAGGAACACCAAUAGCGAAGGCAGCUCGCUGGGACGUACUGACACUGAGGCGCGAAAGCGUGGGGAGCGAACAGG